GGCACUUUGGCGGAGUGGUUAACGCGAUGCCCUGCUAUACCGUAUUUGGAUUAGUGUAGGCAUUCCCUUCGGGGGCGUGAGUUCGAAUCUCACAGGUGUCG
Aspergillus pseudonomiae is the source of this 101-nucleotide non-coding RNA. NCBI's taxonomy places the organism in Eukaryota, Fungi, Ascomycota, Eurotiomycetes, Eurotiales, Aspergillaceae. The record is from the annotation of a RefSeq genome assembly.